Long non-coding RNA from Suricata suricatta (meerkat), 262 nucleotides. RefSeq lists it as uncharacterized. Lineage: Eukaryota; Metazoa; Chordata; Mammalia; Carnivora; Herpestidae. The transcript has 2 exons. The record is from RefSeq and is a predicted model, not a curated record.
UGACCACAAUCGGAGACUUCAUUAUUAUGCCUAUUAAACACCUUGAAAACGGCGGGAGGUCUGAAAGACCCUCGGGCAGGGUGAGCUCUUCUGUAUCAGAAACCUAAAGAGAAGUUCCAGCCUCAGAUGUGACCACACAGCUCUCCUAAGUCAGCCUUCGCAUACACCCUCUGGAGGAUUCCUAACACUAAUCUGGAUAUUAAAGUCAAUCAUCUUUAUGUAUGAAAUAGCUGUUUCUCAUUAAAAUGCUUUACAUCUUAAA